This 497-nucleotide ribosomal RNA is filed under the name uncultured bacterium. RNAcentral's name for it is "bacterial SSU rRNA". It matches the Rfam family "Bacterial small subunit ribosomal RNA", at positions 28 to 517 of the family's 1533-position model. The record is from RNAcentral.
GAUGAACGCUAGCGACAGGCUUAACACAUGCAAGUCGAGGGGCAGCACGGGAGUAGCAAUACAACUGGUGGCGACCGGCGCACGGGUGAGUAACGCGUAUGCAACCUACCUAUCAGAGGGGAAUAACCCGGCGAAAGUCGGACUAAUACCGCAUAAAACAGGGGCACCGCAUGGUGAUAUUUGUUAAAGAGAUUCGCUGAUAGAUGGGCAUGCGUUCCAUUAGGUAGUUGGUGAGGUAACGGCUCACCAAGCCGACGAUGGAUAGGGGAACUGAGAGGUUGGUCCCCCANACUGGUACUGAGACACGGACCAGACUCCUACGGGAGCAGCAGUGAGGAAUAUUGGUCAAUGGGCGGGAGCCUGAACCAGCCAAGUCGCGUGAAGGAAGAAGGAUCUAUGGUUCGUAAACUUCUUUUGCAGGGGAAUAAAGUGCAGGACGUGUCCUGUUUUGUAUGUACCCUGAGAAUAAGGAUCGGCUAACUCCGUGCCAGCAGCCG